CCUACGGGAGGCAGCAGUGAGGAAUAUUGGUCAAUGGACGCAAGUCUGAACCAGCCAUGCCGCGUGCAGGAAGACGGCUCUAUGGGUUGUAAACCUCUUUUGUCGGAGAACAAAACCCGGGACGUGUCCCGGACUGCGUGUAUCCGAAGAAAAAGCAUCGGCUAACUCCGUGCCAGCAGCCGCGGUAAUACGGAGGAUGCGAGCGUUAUCCGGAUUUAUUGGGUUUAAAGGGUGCGUAGGCGGUCCGUUAAGUCAGCGGUAAAAUUGCGGGGCUCAACCCCGUCGAGCCGUUGAAACUGGCAGACUUGAGUGGGCGAGAAGUACGCGGAAUGCGCGGUGUAGCGGUGAAAUGCAUAGAUAUCGCGAAGAACUCCGAUUGCGAAGGCAGCGUACCGGCGCCAGACUGACGCUGAGGCACGAAAGCGUGGGGAGCGAACAGGAUUAGAUACCCUGGUAGUC
Molecule: ribosomal RNA, 459 nt
Filed under: uncultured bacterium
Lineage: Bacteria
Description: partial 16S ribosomal RNA
Rfam family: Bacterial small subunit ribosomal RNA
Source: RNAcentral